GCUUGUCUGAGUUUGUCUGUCAACUUUGAAUGAUUGGUUUUUGUGUGUUUUUUUUUCUAGUAAAGGACUAGUAAAGUUGAAUGAAAAAUGAAAAUGCAACGACAUCAAUUAUAAAAGCCGCUCCUACCGUUCCCACAGCCACUGUUGAUAGUCAUCGACCCGACACGUCUGUAUUGCGUCGGCGAUCGCUUUGCAACUUUGACCUCCGUUCUUGCGGCGCCGGCGGAGCGCUCCGCGUGCUCGGCGCUGUGGCGGCAGUCGGCACUCUGACAGCUGUCAUUGUUGUCACCGUGACGUUUCUGAAAGUGGAAUACGUAUCGAAGUGAAAAUAUGCAAGCAAGCAAAUCAACGAGACAGAGUUCUCCCAGGGCACAGGACGAACGCAUUUACGGCGAAAACACUUGUGUUGGGAGAAAUCUCACCACAGUAGUGCUGUUGAGCAUCAGCCUGGCGCUUAUUAUACUGAUCGUCAUACUCUCGCUGCUCAUCAUGAGCAAAGAGUAUCAUUGGAGAUCGGCAUGAUUUUAUUUAUAAUUUCAAUGUUGUGAUAAAUAUUUUUUUACGAAGCUUGUAUUACUAUUGUGAAUGAUGAAAUUAAAAAAUGUGUUGUUUGA
This is a long non-coding RNA of Bombyx mori (domestic silkworm), 614 nucleotides long. RefSeq lists it as uncharacterized. The record is from RefSeq and is a predicted model, not a curated record. The transcript has 4 exons. NCBI's taxonomy places the organism in Eukaryota, Metazoa, Arthropoda, Insecta, Lepidoptera, Bombycidae.